This is a non-coding RNA of Triticum aestivum (bread wheat), 178 nucleotides long. The record is from Rfam. Lineage: Eukaryota; Viridiplantae; Streptophyta; Magnoliopsida; Poales; Poaceae.
UUAUUACUCCCUCCGUCCGAAAAUACUUGUCAUCAGAAUGAAUAAAAGAAUGAAUAAAAAGGGACGUAUCUAGAACUAGAAUGGGUAAAAAGGGACGUAUCUAGAACUAAUAUACGUCUAGAUACAUCCCCUUAUAUUCAUUUUGAUGACAAGUAUUUCCGGACGGAGGGAGUACAUU